RNA transcript from Cucumis melo (muskmelon), 2088 nucleotides. It is a transcript of the gene named probable inactive beta-glucosidase 14, with no coding region annotated. Lineage: Eukaryota; Viridiplantae; Streptophyta; Magnoliopsida; Cucurbitales; Cucurbitaceae. The record is from RefSeq and is a predicted model, not a curated record. The transcript has 7 exons.
UUUCCCCUUUCUUCCUUUACUCUUUUCCCUUUCUUUUCUACCAUCUCGACGAAAGGAACACUAAAAACCCCAACCUCACUCUUCUCCAUCUCCACCUAGCCGACCACACAAAAGGACUUUUCUUCUCAUCGACGGUGACCCACAACGUUUCGGUCAGUCACUAAAGGGAACGGCAGACCACGACGCAUUUCGGCCAUAUGCUUUUCGGACGGCGACGUUUAAGCUAAGUAGAAGCUAUACACGUUUAGGGCGACCCACAUCGAUUUGGUUAUGCAAAUCAAAAGAUUAGAUUUUCCAAACGAUUUCUUCUUUGGAACUUCCACAUCCUUUUACCAGAUUGAAGGGGGUUAUGUUGAAGAUGGAAGGGGAAAGAGAAAAAUUAAGGAUAAUAACACAGGAGAUUUGGCCGACAAUCACUACCACAUGUUUAUGGAAGAUAUUGAAUUGAUGGAUUCUAUGGCGAUGAAUGCUGAUCAGUUGUCCAUUUCUUGGACCCGAAUUUUGCCCAAUUGAUCAUUAGAGUUCAGCUUGCACAUAUGUUGCAGCAUAUCCAGUUGUUGUAUGAAGAGUACAUUCAGUUUCCAACCACUGUUCGUAUCCAAAAUAUUUGCUUUCAAUAAAUAUGGGAAAUAAAGGUUGUCACCUUACCUUAUCAUGUAGCUUUUGUUGAUAAUUAGUUUUUUUCAACAAAAUCAUAGUUCAAGCUCUGCUUCAUCACAAGCCAUCUCUUCCCUAUCAUUUUUUUCAGCACAAUUUCAAUUAAUCUAUAAGCUAGAGUUCAGUAAAAUGAACAAGAAGAGUUCAUAAUAAAUGAUCAUAAGGAAGAAGAGAAACACACACAUACAAAUAAAUUUUCUGAUAAAGAUGAGCUCGCUCUAUGCUAUCAUCAAAUUAUCAAUUCAUUUAGUGUUGAUAUUUUUGUUAUGAAAUGCAAUGGUAGGAAAGGGGAGGUCUUGAUAGUUGCAUUGAUAUAAUAGAUAACCAAUUGUUAAGAAAGUAUUGGAUCUUCCUUUGGUGCAUAUUUAUACUCUAGUUUAAAUUGAAUAUGGAAGAUAAGUUAGUUACAUCUUCUCUAUCAACUCAUCUUAGAAUUCCAAUGGCCCAUAUCAUUAGUAUUUUAUUGGAUUUCACUUGUUUUUUGCAUACGCACAGACAGUAAUGGUACCUUAUUCCCAUUAUUUGUGUUUUUGGGUUUGUCAGAAUCAACGGUCAACAAUAUUCAUAUGGAUUGUGUCAAGAGCUAAGACAUUAGAAGUAUUAUCAAUCAGCGUUGCUGGAAACUACAACGGAUAAUUACAAGUUGUAAUUAAUUAAUUAAAUUAAAUUAAAUAUAUAAUAUUCCUCCUCAAUCCGUAUUCCUCCUCAAUCCCAAACAUAUAUAUUUCAAUUAUAUAUUAGUAUAUAGUUUCUAACAAUAUAUAUAAGUUUAUUAUUAUUGAGUAAGAUGACAUCAAGUUGCAAGUGGCUUCUCCACAAGUUCCAACUUGGAAGAGCUAUUUUGUGAGGUAUUGUGAACAACAUGGAGAGGGAACAUGGGUUGUUGUUGACGUUUACUUAGACAAUUUACGCCUAGCUCCUGCUUUUAGAUGUAGAAGGUCAUCCGGCUGCUUAACCCAAGAAAUGCCCUACGGUUAUUCUAAGGUUACAUGGGCUGAGCAUGUUGAGGUGGAUGAUUGUAGUGUCUACAGUUUAUACAACCAACUAGUUAGCUCUGGCCACACGUUCAACGCAAAGCGUUGGAUUGCCACGUUGGAUCGUCAAUGUGAAGUCCAGUAUAUGUGAUUGUUCAUUUCUUAGAGGGCCAAACACCAUUAUGUGAAGCUAAGAGAUCAUGUAGAUAGCCAGGCGAUCAGAAUGAUUGAAAUCAUAUCGGGUUGAAAGCUAAGUGAUUGUGUAAAUAGCCAGCGACCAUUGAAGGUUGAAGAUUGAGAAGGCGUUUAGGAUUUCUCAUUUAAGUAUUGUAUUAAGAUUUUUUUUCAUGUAUUGUUGUAAAAUGUAUAUAUAAACACAAUAUUAAUUUUCAUUUUGUGUAUAUACAAAUGUAAAAGACAAAUAUUAUAGUUUCUAAAAUAAUAUUAAUUUUAUUGA